UGGGGAAUAUUGGACAAUGGGCGAAAGCCUGAUCCAGCAAUGCCGCGUGAGUGAUGAAGGCCUUAGGGUUGUAAAGCUCUUUCGGCGGGGACGAUGAUGACGGUACCCGCAGAAGAAGCCCCGGCUCACUUCGUGCCAGCAGCCGCGGUAAUACGAAGGGGGCUAGCGUUGUUCGGAAUUACUGGGCGUAAAGGGCGCGUAGGCGGUUCGUUAAGUUAGGCGUGAAAGGCCUGGGCUCAACCCGGGAACUGCGCUUAAUACUGGCGAGCUUGAGUUCGGAAGAGGGUAGUGGAAUUCCCAGUGUAGAGGUGAAAUUCGUAGAUAUUGGGAAGAACACCGGUGGCGAAGGCGGCUACCUGGUCCGAUACUGACGCUGAGGCGCGAAAGCGUGGGGAGCAAACAGG
This 404-nucleotide ribosomal RNA is filed under the name uncultured bacterium. RNAcentral describes it as "bacterial SSU rRNA". It matches the Rfam family "Bacterial small subunit ribosomal RNA", at positions 355 to 776 of the family's 1533-position model. The record is from RNAcentral.